RNAcentral lists this transfer RNA (32 nucleotides) under Orestias agassizii. RNAcentral describes it as "partial tRNA-Ala". Lineage: Eukaryota; Metazoa; Chordata; Actinopteri; Cyprinodontiformes; Cyprinodontidae. The record is from RNAcentral.
AGAAGAUGUGGGUUAAUUUCCCGUAAGUCUUA